RNAcentral lists this ribosomal RNA (492 nucleotides) under uncultured bacterium. Its description in RNAcentral is "partial 16S ribosomal RNA". It matches the Rfam family "Bacterial small subunit ribosomal RNA", at positions 29 to 507 of the family's 1533-position model. The record is from RNAcentral.
AGUGAACGCUGGCGGUAGGCCUAACACAUGCAAGUAGAGCGGCAGCACAGUAAGAGCUUGCUCUUACGGGUGGCGAGUGGCGGACGGGUGAGGAAUACAUCGGAAUCUACUUUUUCGUGGGGGAUAACGUAGGGAAACUUACGCUAAUACCGCAUACGACCUACGGGUGAAAGCAGGGGAUCUUCGGACCUUGCGCGAUUGAAUGAGCCGAUGUCGGAUUAGCUAGUUGGCGGGGUAAAGGCCCACCAAGGCGACGAUCCGUAGCUGGUCUGAGAGGAUGAUCAGCCACACUGGAACUGAGACACGGUCCAGACUCCUACGGGAGGCAGCAGUGGGGAAUAUUGGACAAUGGGCGCAAGCCUGAUCCAGCCAUACCGCGUGGGUGAAGAAGGCCUUCGGGUUGUAAAGCCCUUUUGUUGGGAAAGAAAAGCAGCAGGUUAAUACCCCGCUGUUCUGACGGUACCCAAAGAAUAAGCACCGGCUAACUUCGUG